AGAGUUUGAUCCUGGCUCAGGAUGAACGCUAGCGGCAGGCUUAAUACAUGCAAGUCGUGGGGCAGCACAGGUAGCAAUACUGGGUGGCGACCGGCAAACGGGUGCGGAACACGUACGCAACCUUCCUUUAAGCGGGGGAUAGCCCAGGGAAACUUGGAUUAAUACCCCAUAGUAAGAUGGAGUGGCAUCACUCUAUUUUU
This 200-nucleotide ribosomal RNA is filed under the name uncultured bacterium. Its description in RNAcentral is "partial 16S ribosomal RNA". It matches the Rfam family "Bacterial small subunit ribosomal RNA", at positions 8 to 202 of the family's 1533-position model. The record is from RNAcentral.